RNAcentral lists this ribosomal RNA (2904 nucleotides) under Escherichia coli. RNAcentral's name for it is "bacterial LSU rRNA". It matches the Rfam family "Bacterial large subunit ribosomal RNA". The record is from RNAcentral. Lineage: Bacteria; Pseudomonadati; Pseudomonadota; Gammaproteobacteria; Enterobacterales; Enterobacteriaceae.
UUAAGCGACUAAGCGUACACGGUGGAUGCCCUGGCAGUCAGAGGCGAUGAAGGACGUGCUAAUCUGCGAUAAGCGUCGGUAAGGUGAUAUGAACCGUUAUAACCGGCGAUUUCCGAAUGGGGAAACCCAGUGUGAUUCGUCACACUAUCAUUAACUGAAUCCAUAGGUUAAUGAGGCGAACCGGGGGAACUGAAACAUCUAAGUACCCCGAGGAAAAGAAAUCAACCGAGAUUCCCCCAGUAGCGGCGAGCGAACGGGGAGCAGCCCAGAGCCUGAAUCAGUGUGUGUGUUAGUGGAAGCGUCUGGAAAGGCGCGCGAUACAGGGUGACAGCCCCGUACACAAAAAUGCACAUGCUGUGAGCUCGAUGAGUAGGGCGGGACACGUGGUAUCCUGUCUGAAUAUGGGGGGACCAUCCUCCAAGGCUAAAUACUCCUGACUGACCGAUAGUGAACCAGUACCGUGAGGGAAAGGCGAAAAGAACCCCGGCGAGGGGAGUGAAAAAGAACCUGAAACCGUGUACGUACAAGCAGUGGGAGCACAGAGCAAUCUGUGUGACUGCGUACCUUUUGUAUAAUGGGUCAGCGACUUAUAUUCUGUAGCAAGGUUAACCGAAUAGGGGAGCCGAAGGGAAACCGAGUCUUAACUGGGCGUUAAGUUGCAGGGUAUAGACCCGAAACCCGGUGAUCUAGCCAUGGGCAGGUUGAAGGUUGGGUAACACUAACUGGAGGACCGAACCGACUAAUGUUGAAAAAUUAGCGGAUGACUUGUGGCUGGGGGUGAAAGGCCAAUCAAACCGGGAGAUAGCUGGUUCUCCCCGAAAGCUAUUUAGGUAGCGCCUCGUGAAUUCAUCUCCGGGGGUAGAGCACUGUUUCGGCAAGGGGGUCAUCCCGACUUACCAACCCGAUGCAAACUGCGAAUACCGGAGAAUGUUAUCACGGGAGACACACGGCGGGUGCUAACGUCCGUCGUGAAGAGGGAAACAACCCAGACCGCCAGCUAAGGUCCCAAAGUCAUGGUUAAGUGGGAAACGAUGUGGGAAGGCCCAGACAGCCAGGAUGUUGGCUUAGAAGCAGCCAUCAUUUAAAGAAAGCGUAAUAGCUCACUGGUCGAGUCGGCCUGCGCGGAAGAUGUAACGGGGCUAAACCAUGCACCGAAGCUGCGGCAGCGACGCUGAUGCGUUGUUGGGUAGGGGAGCGUUCUGUAAGCCUGCGAAGGUGUGCUGUGAGGCAUGCUGGAGGUAUCAGAAGUGCGAAUGCUGACAUAAGUAACGAUAAAGCGGGGUGAAAAGCCCGCUCGCCGGAAGACCAAGGGUUCCUGUCCAACGUUAAUCGGGGCAGGGUGAGUCGACCCCUAAGGCGAGGCCGAAAGGCGUAGUCGAUGGGAAACAGGUUAAUAUUCCUGUACUUGGUGUUACUGCGAAGGGGGGACGGAGAAGGCUAUGUUGGCCGGGCGACGGUUGUCCCGGUUUAAGCGUGUAGGCUGGUUUUCCAGGCAAAUCCGGAAAUCAAGGCUGAGGCGUGAUGACGAGGCACUACGGUGCUGAAGCAACAAAUGCCCUGCUUCCAGGAAAAGCCUCUAAGCAUCAGGUAACAUCAAAUCGUACCCCAAACCGACACAGGUGGUCAGGUAGAGAAUACCAAGGCGCUUGAGAGAACUCGGGUGAAGGAACUAGGCAAAAUGGUGCCGUAACUUCGGGAGAAGGCACGCUGAUAUGUAGGUGAAGUCCCUCGCGGAUGGAGCUGAAAUCAGUCGAAGAUACCAGCUGGCUGCAACUGUUUAUUAAAAACACAGCACUGUGCAAACACGAAAGUGGACGUAUACGGUGUGACGCCUGCCCGGUGCCGGAAGGUUAAUUGAUGGGGUCAGCGCAAGCGAAGCUCUUGAUCGAAGCCCCGGUAAACGGCGGCCGUAACUAUAACGGUCCUAAGGUAGCGAAAUUCCUUGUCGGGUAAGUUCCGACCUGCACGAAUGGCGUAAUGAUGGCCAGGCUGUCUCCACCCGAGACUCAGUGAAAUUGAACUCGCUGUGAAGAUGCAGUGUACCCGCGGCAAGACGGAAAGACCCCGUGAACCUUUACUAUAGCUUGACACUGAACAUUGAGCCUUGAUGUGUAGGAUAGGUGGGAGGCUUUGAAGUGUGGACGCCAGUCUGCAUGGAGCCGGCCUUGAAAUACCACCCUUUAAUGUUUGAUGUUCUAACGUUGACCCGUGAUCCGGGUUGCGGACAGUGUCUGGUGGGUAGUUUGACUGGGGCGGUCUCCUCCUAAAGAGUAACGGAGGAGCACGAAGGUUGGCUAAUCCUGGUCGGACAUCAGGAGGUUAGUGCAAUGGCAUAAGCCAGCUUGACUGCGAGCGUGACGGCGCGAGCAGGUGCGAAAGCAGGUCAUAGUGAUCCGGUGGUUCUGAAUGGAAGGGCCAUCGCUCAACGGAUAAAAGGUACUCCGGGGAUAACAGGCUGAUACCGCCCAAGAGUUCAUAUCGACGGCGGUGUUUGGCACCUCGAUGUCGGCUCAUCACAUCCUGGGGCUGAAGUAGGUCCCAAGGGUAUGGCUGUUCGCCAUUUAAAGUGGUACGCGAGCUGGGUUUAGAACGUCGUGAGACAGUUCGGUCCCUAUCUGCCGUGGGCGCUGGAGAACUGAGGGGGGCUGCUCCUAGUACGAGAGGACCGGAGUGGACGCAUCACUGGUGUUCGGGUUGUCAUGCCAAUGGCACUGCCCGGUAGCUAAAUGCGGAAGAGAUAAGUGCUGAAAGCAUCUAAGCACGAAACUUGCCCCGAGAUGAGUUCUCCCUGACUCCUUGAGAGUCCUGAAGGAACGUUGAAGACGACGACGUUGAUAGGCCGGGUGUGUAAGCGCAGCGAUGCGUUGAGCUAACCGGUACUAAUGAACCGUGAGGCUUAACCUU